UACGUAGGGUGCAAGCGUUGUCCGGAAUUAUUGGGCGUAAAGAGCUCGUAGGCGGUCUGUCGCGUCUGCUGUGAAAACUCAGGGCUUAACCCUGAGCUUGCAGUGGGUACGGGCAGACUAGAGUGCGGUAGGGGAGACUGGAAUUCCUGGUGUAGCGGUGAAAUGCGCAGAUAUCGGGAGGAACGACCGGUGGCGAAGGCGGUUCUCUGGGCCUUACCUGACGCUGAGGAGCGAAAGCGUGGGGAGCGAACAGG
Molecule: ribosomal RNA, 254 nt
Filed under: uncultured bacterium
Lineage: Bacteria
Description: partial 16S ribosomal RNA
Rfam family: Bacterial small subunit ribosomal RNA
Source: RNAcentral